This 2148-nucleotide ribosomal RNA is filed under the name Salmonella enterica subsp. enterica serovar Enteritidis. RNAcentral's name for it is "partial 23S ribosomal RNA". It matches the Rfam family "Bacterial large subunit ribosomal RNA", at positions 673 to 2802 of the family's 2925-position model. Lineage: Bacteria; Pseudomonadati; Pseudomonadota; Gammaproteobacteria; Enterobacterales; Enterobacteriaceae. The record is from RNAcentral.
GAAACCGAGUCUUAAUUGGGCGUUAAGUUGCAGGGUAUAGACCCGAAACCCGGUGAUCUAGCCAUGGGCAGGUUGAAGGUUGGGUAACACUAACUGGAGGACCGAACCGACUAAUGUUGAAAAAUUAGCGGAUGACCUGUGGCUGGGGGUGAAAGGCCAAUCAAACCGGGAGAUAGCUGGUUCUCCCCGAAAGCUAUUUAGGUAGCGCCUCGUGAAUUCAUCUCCGGGGGUAGAGCACUGUUUCGGCUAGGGGGCCAUCCCGGCUUACCAACCCGAUGCAAACUGCGAAUACCGGAGAAUGUUAUCACGGGAGACACACGGCGGGUGCUAACGUCCGUCGUGAAGAGGGAAACAACCCAGACCGCCAGCUAAGGUCCCAAAGUCAUGGUUAAGUGGGAAACGAUGUGGGAAGGCCCAGACAGCCAGGAUGUUGGCUUAGAAGCAGCCAUCAUUUAAAGAAAGCGUAAUAGCUCACUGGUCGAGUCGGCCUGCGCGGAAGAUGUAACGGGGCUAAACCAUGCACCGAAGCUGCGGCAGCGACACUGUGUGUUGUUGGGUAGGGGAGCGUUCUGUAAGCCUGUGAAGGUGUGUCGUGAGGCAUGCUGGAGGUAUCAGAAGUGCGAAUGCUGACAUAAGUAACGAUAAAGCGGGUGAAAAGCCCGCUCGCCGGAAGACCAAGGGUUCCUGUCCAACGUUAAUCGGGGCAGGGUGAGUCGACCCCUAAGGCGAGGCCGAAAGGCGUAGUCGAUGGGAAACGGGUUAAUAUUCCCGUACUUGGUGUUACUGCGAAGGGGGGACGGAGAAGGCUAUGUUGGCCGGGCGACGGUUGUCCCGGUUUAAGCGUGUAGGUGUGUGUUCCAGGUAAAUCCGGUUCACUUUAACACUGAGGCGUGACGACGAGGCACUACGGUGCUGAAGCAACAAAUGCCCUGCUUCCAGGAAAAGCCUCUAAGCAUCAGGUAACAUCAAAUCGUACCCCAAACCGACACAGGUGGUCAGGUAGAGAAUACCAAGGCGCUUGAGAGAACUCGGGUGAAGGAACUAGGCAAAAUGGUGCCGUAACUUCGGGAGAAGGCACGCUGACACGUAGGUGAAGUGAUUUACUCAUGGAGCUGAAGUCAGUCGAAGAUACCAGCUGGCUGCAACUGUUUAUUAAAAACACAGCACUGUGCAAACACGAAAGUGGACGUAUACGGUGUGACGCCUGCCCGGUGCCGGAAGGUUAAUUGAUGGGGUCAGCGCAAGCGAAGCUCCUGAUCGAAGCCCCGGUAAACGGCGGCCGUAACUAUAACGGUCCUAAGGUAGCGAAAUUCCUUGUCGGGUAAGUUCCGACCUGCACGAAUGGCGUAAUGAUGGCCAGGCUGUCUCCACCCGAGACUCAGUGAAAUUGAACUCGCUGUGAAGAUGCAGUGUACCCGCGGCAAGACGGAAAGACCCCGUGAACCUUUACUAUAGCUUGACACUGAACAUUGAGCCUUGAUGUGUAGGAUAGGUGGGAGGCUUUGAAGUGUGGACGCCAGUCUGCAUGGAGCCGACCUUGAAAUACCACCCUUUAAUGUUUGAUGUUCUAACGUGGACCCGUUACCCGGGUUGCGGACAGUGUCUGGUGGGUAGUUUGACUGGGGCGGUCUCCUCCUAAAGAGUAACGGAGGAGCACGAAGGUUGGCUAAUCCUGGUCGGACAUCAGGAGGUUAGUGCAAUGGCAUAAGCCAGCUUGACUGCGAGCGUGACGGCGCGAGCAGGUGCGAAAGCAGGUCAUAGUGAUCCGGUGGUUCUGAAUGGAAGGGCCAUCGCUCAACGGAUAAAAGGUACUCCGGGGAUAACAGGCUGAUACCGCCCAAGAGUUCAUAUCGACGGCGGUGUUUGGCACCUCGAUGUCGGCUCAUCACAUCCUGGGGCUGAAGUAGGUCCCAAGGGUAUGGCUGUUCGCCAUUUAAAGUGGUACGCGAGCUGGGUUUAGAACGUCGUGAGACAGUUCGGUCCCUAUCUGCCGUGGGCGCUGGAGAACUGAGGGGGGCUGCUCCUAGUACGAGAGGACCGGAGUGGACGCAUCACUGGUGUUCGGGUUGUCAUGCCAAUGGCACUGCCCGGUAGCUAAAUGCGGAAGAGAUAAGUGCUGAAAGCAUCUAAGCACGAAACUUGCCCCGA